Long non-coding RNA from Cavia porcellus (domestic guinea pig), 2653 nucleotides. RefSeq lists it as uncharacterized. The transcript is spliced from 3 exons. The record is from RefSeq and is a predicted model, not a curated record. NCBI's taxonomy places the organism in Eukaryota, Metazoa, Chordata, Mammalia, Rodentia, Caviidae.
UUUUCUCCAGAAUGGUUCUGAGCUGGCUCUUACAGAUUUUGCCUCCUUAAAAAUAGCAGCAGUUCUGUUGGCCAGUGGCACAUUAGUAAAAGUGGGGAGAAUGGCAGCGGUAAUGAUAGACUAAGAGUUGGAAGGAGUCUGGCAGACAGCAUUUGAUCACCCCUCAUGGUCUUCAAGUCUUGAUUAAAAUAAUCCUGUGAAGUAGUCUAUCUGCUGAACAUUCAUUGUCAACCAUCACACUGCAAGCCUUAGAUGAUUGUGGUGGUUUCUAAAAGGGAAGUUCUCUCUCAGACAGACACUUGGCAAAUAGUAGGUGCUCAAUAAAUGUUUAUAUCAUACUCUUACAUUAGGGUUAUCAUUGAAAUAUCUUUGAGGAGUACAACAGUAUCUGUGGUGGGCUGGGAAAGUGUGAAAAACCAAGAAGGUGGGCAGGAGUGCAGAGGGGGUAUGUGGUGGCUAAAAGUGUGGCUCCAGUGGCAAGGGGAGAUAAUGGGGACUCUGUACCCUCGAAGAGACCAAACUGGACCACUAAUGACAUUAGGUUAGAAUAGGACAACAGUUGGGAUCUGGCCACCUCUUACAGGGAUGAUUUUGAAGUGGAGCAUUUCUCUAUAGAGUUCUAAAUGACAAACUUCUAUAAUGGAUAUUUUUUAUAGCAGUGGAGCUACAUUUUCAUCUCCUUGCUUCAAUCAAGAAUUACUUCUGAGGCCGGGGAUGUAGCUCAGCAGCAUAAGCACUUGCCUGGGAAGCACAAGGCUAUAAGUUUGAUCCCUGGUACAAAAAAAAAGAAUUACUUCUGGCCAGCAUGGUGGCACAAGCCUGUAAUCCCAGCAGUUGGGAGGCUGAGGCAGGAGAAUGUCUUAAGCCAAUAAGAAUUAUACUUUGAGACUCCUGUCUCCAAAACAAACAAACAAAUAAAAAAGUUCCUUUAGGAUCUGAUAGGGAUUUUGCCAAGCAUUAGUCAGAAAGGGUGAAUGGGCCCUUCACACUUUCAGUUAGCAAGAGCUUGAGCAAGUGCAAGACUGAGGGCAGGGUUCUUACACAGCCAUUGUGGGGACUCUGCACAGUCGUGAGUGGGGAAUUUGAGCACCUGGUUUUGGAUUUUGUGUGCACAUAUUUUGAACAUUCUGGGGGGAGAGGUCUAUACAGGAUUAAAUAACCAUUAAAAACUGUUGACUUAAACAAGACUUCAAAAAUUUUAUUUUGCCUACAACAGCUAUGCUCCAUCUACCAACUUGUGUUCCCAAAAGGGCCAGAUUGCUAUUAUUGGUACUUUUUACAGCAAGCCAGCUAUAAAUGCAUAUAAAGUCUCUCUAGCCUUAAAUUUGAAAUUUUGCGGUCUAAGAUCUGCACAUAUUUAAGUCUGAAUUAAUCAAAUUAUUUGAAAAGUGAGCCUUAUUCAUAUCAGAAGCCAGUCCAGGAAUGAGGCUGGGCCGAUCUUAUACAUUGUUUUAUUCAAAAUCAGUAGGGGAGGGUCAGUUCCUACAGCAACCACUGGUGUGUUUGUUGAGGCCUUGCUUUGUGUCAGAUGGUGAAAUCUAAUCCUUUACCUGGGUGGAAGACACAGACUGACAAUUAGUACAGAUGCACCAAAGUAAUCCCAGUCUGUGUUAGCAAGUUUUUCUUCCCAACAGAACAUCUCUCUAGUGCUUGUCUGCUUUCUAGAUGAAUAUGGCCUUUCAGUUCAGACCACUCUAGGAAGAGUAAGUAAUUUUGGAUUAAAUCAAAGAGUAUCAGAUGAUUUUCUCAUAACUUCGAAGAAUGAAGUGUUCUUUUUAUAAAGGUAAUAUUUUUCUUCUGUGGUAGAAACCAAAGAACCACUUACUAGUCACAUCCCUCCCUUCCACCCGGACUCACCUCCAACCCCAUUCCCUAGAAUUCCCUAGAUUCCCAGAGGAGCAGAAGAGGUAUAUACACUGCCUCCAGAGGACUGGGGAGAAGGGAAGAUACGCACGUGGGUCUUUCUUGUUCAGCAUUUCCAGGAGUCACAUUUUUUUCAAGGCCCCUAUAGAUAAUGUUGCGAGGAUCUGGAAAUAACCAACUGAGAAAUUACAUAUUUUAAAGGGUCAAAUAAGUGUAUGUUGGGAAGGAAUGAAGGGGUCUAAAAACCUUUAUGUGCAUUUUCCUUAAUAUUGAAAUUCUGUACAGUACUACAUUAUAUUCAUUGGAGUAGCUUCUUUUAAAACUAUUUGAAGAUACUGCCUAAGGUAAACAUGGAUGUCUAAAUGAGAAGCCCCUGGAAGAAGAAGCAAGCACUUCCUAGAACCUUGUACUCCGACAUAUCUCAUCCCCACAGAAGCCCUUAUUUCAGAAAACUGAGCCUUAAAAUGAGGAUGUAGCUCCCUAAUAGAACACUUGCCUAGCAUGCAUGAGGCCUUGGAUUGAUCCAGCACCGCAAAAGAAACAAAACCCAGAGCCUGGUCCCUAGGGGAAGAGAAAUACCAGGAAGGGGGCACAAUUUAAAUUCAAGUCUGUCCAACAUCAAAGCUCCUGCUCCUCUGAACCUUCAUGCCAGGAGCUGUUCCCAGAACUACCUUAAAAAUCAACGUUUCUCAAUUCAUGCUAUGAUUCCUAAUAAUAGGAGUGUGGGACUCAGCUCUUGACCAUCUGGAACUUUGAGGAGCUCUGGAGAUUGCUAAAGUCCACGUGGGCC